Varroa destructor (honeybee mite) is the source of this 677-nucleotide RNA transcript. RefSeq lists it as uncharacterized. NCBI's taxonomy places the organism in Eukaryota, Metazoa, Arthropoda, Arachnida, Mesostigmata, Varroidae. The record is from RefSeq and is a predicted model, not a curated record.
CUAUUAAGUCUAGUUUUAUUACAUCAAAGUUCAGCUUGUUUCCUUCACUAAUCGUUGUGCAAUACACACGGAAAGUUCGAAUGUCCAAAUGAGAUGUCUGUGUUAAAUCGACGACAGCCGCUCGCUUCAACGCCUCGCAAUUAUGGAGCUGGCAACGACCGCCAGAUAUUUUGGACGAUAGCGACUCGCAUCAGCAUUUUAAUGAUAUUUUUUACAUCAUUCUUAGUCGUCCUAUUCUUCAUCGCCCACGGAGCUUUGAUGGAGGUUGUGGAGUCUAGCCGGCAAAAACGCUACAACCGUCCCAUGGGUGUUGCAAAUAGAAUUCCUAGCUAAUGUAGAAAGCCUGUUAGAAGUUGCAACAUAUUGUCAAUUAUCACUUAAUCAGCAGCCAGCCUAACGGUUCGUAAACGGCAGCCGUCCCGCAAACGAAGCUCUCCGGUAGAGGAAACAAACAAGGCCUCCGGUAUUUCCUGGCUGCCUGAAAUACGUAUACACUACAUAUGCGGCGGUAUAUUCUAAAUUACACCAAAGUGUAACCAUUUGCGUGUCACGAGUUAAUGGAGCGUCAACAUAAGUCUUCGACAAGAGUGUUGGCAGCGUUCUUAUAAGGAGUGGUGUCAUGGGUACGCUCUAACUAAUGAUCUUUCAUUAUUUUUGAAAAAUAAAAUUUAACCUGA